AAGUGGCGUACGGGUGAGUAACACGUGGAUCAUCUACCUUUUAGUGAGGAAUAACCAUGGGAAACCGUGGCUAAUACCGCAUAAGCUCGAGAGAGGAAAGUCGCAAGACGCUGAAAGAGGAGUCCGCGGCCGAUUAGCUAGUUGGCAGGGUAAAAGCCUACCAAGGCGAGGAUCGGUAGCCGGCCUGAGAGGGCACACGGCCACACUGGCACUGAAACACGGGCCAGACUCCUACGGGAGGCAGCAGUGGGGAAUCUUGCACAAUGGGGGAAACCCUGAUGCAGCGACGCCGCGUGAGCGAUGAAGCCCUUCGGGGUGUAAAGCUCUUUCGUCAGGGAAGAUAGUGACGGUACCUGGAGAAGCAGCUGCGGCUAACUACGUGCCAGCAGCCGCGGUAAUACGUAGGCAGCGAGCGUUGUUCGGAGUUACUGGGCGUAAAGGGUGUGUAGGCGGUUGUUUAAGUUUGGUGUGAAAUCUCCCGGCUCAACUGGGAGGGUGCGCCGAAUACUGAAUGACUUCGAGUGCGGGAGAGGAAAGUGGAAUUCCUGGUGUAGCGGUGAAAUGCGUAGAUAUCAGGAGGAACACCGGUGGUGUAGACGGCUUUCUGGACCGUAAC
This 616-nucleotide ribosomal RNA is filed under the name uncultured bacterium. RNAcentral's name for it is "bacterial SSU rRNA". It matches the Rfam family "Bacterial small subunit ribosomal RNA", at positions 93 to 740 of the family's 1533-position model. The record is from RNAcentral.